GGCCCCGUAGCUCAGUGGAUUAGAGCACUGGUCUUCGGAACCAGGUGUCGGCGGUUCGAAUCCGUCCGGGGUCGCCA
This 77-nucleotide transfer RNA is filed under the name Chloroflexota bacterium. RNAcentral describes it as "Chloroflexi bacterium tRNA-Arg". It matches the Rfam family "tRNA". From Rfam's summary of the family: Transfer RNA (tRNA) molecules are approximately 80 nucleotides in length. Their secondary structure includes four short double-helical elements and three loops (D, anti-codon, and T loops). Further hydrogen bonds mediate the characteristic L-shaped molecular structure. tRNAs have two regions of fundamental functional importance: the anti-codon, which is responsible for specific mRNA codon recognition, and the 3' end, to which the tRNAs corresponding amino acid is attached (by aminoacyl-tRNA synthetases). tRNAs cope with the degeneracy of the genetic code in two manners: having more than one tRNA (with a specific anti-codon) for a particular amino acid; and 'wobble' base-pairing, i.e. permitting non-standard base-pairing at the 3rd anti-codon position. Lineage: Bacteria; Bacillati; Chloroflexota. The record is from RNAcentral.